UACGGGGGGGGUUAGUGUUAUUCAUCGUUACUGGGUGUAAAGCGCGCGUAGACUGUUUGGAAAGUUUCAGUUAAAACAAUCUAAGCAUAACUUGGAAAUUAAUUGUCAUACUUCCAAUCUAGAGGUUGAAAGGAGGAAGCUAUACUUCUCAGAGAAAAGUGAAAUUUGUCCGAACUGAGGGGGAUAACCAGCGGGCGAAAGCGGCUUCCUAUUACAAUGCUGACGUUUUGGCGCAAAAGCUUGGGGAUCAAACGGG
Molecule: ribosomal RNA, 256 nt
Filed under: uncultured prokaryote
Description: partial 16S ribosomal RNA
Rfam family: Bacterial small subunit ribosomal RNA
Source: RNAcentral